Molecule: ribosomal RNA, 332 nt
Filed under: uncultured bacterium
Lineage: Bacteria
Description: bacterial SSU rRNA
Rfam family: Bacterial small subunit ribosomal RNA
Source: RNAcentral
CUCGUAGGCGGCCAACUAAGUCAGACGUGAAAUCCCUCGGCUUAACCGGGGAACUGCCUCUGAUACUGGAUGGCUUGAGGUUGGGAGAGGGAUGCGGAAUUCCAGGUGUAGCGGUGAAAUGCAUAGAUAUCUGGAGGAACACCGGUGGCGAAGGCGGCAUCCUGGACCAAAUCUGACGCUGAGGAGCGAAAGCCAGGGGAGCAAACGGGAUUAGAUACCCCGGUAGUCCUGGCCCUAAACGAUGAAUGCUUGGUGUGGCGGGUAUCGAUCCCUGCCGUGCCGAAGCUAACGCAUUAAGCAUUCCGCCUGGGGAGUACGGUCGCAAGGCUGAA